GAAUAUUGGACAAUGGGCGCAAGCCUGAUCCAGCCAUACCGCGUGGGUGAAGAAGGCCUUCGGGUUGUAAAGCCCUUUUGUUGGGAAAGAAAAGCAGUCGGCUAAUACCCGGUUGUCCUGACGGUACACAAAGAAUCAGCACCGGCACACUUCGUGCCAGCCGCCGCGGUAAUACGAAGGGGUCAAGCGUGACUCGGAAUUACUGGGCGUAAAGAGUGCGUAGGUGGUUGUUUAAGUCUGUUGUGAAAGCCCGGGGCUCAACCUGGGAAGAGCAGUGGAUACUGGGCGACUAGAGUGUGGUAGAGGGGAGUGGAAUUCCCGGUGUAGCAGUGAAAUGCGUAGAGAUCGGGAGGAACAUCCAUGGCGAAGGCAGCUACCUGGACCAACACUGACACUGAGGCACGAAAGCGUGGGGAGCAAACAG
This 424-nucleotide ribosomal RNA is filed under the name uncultured bacterium. RNAcentral describes it as "partial 16S ribosomal RNA". It matches the Rfam family "Bacterial small subunit ribosomal RNA", at positions 359 to 775 of the family's 1533-position model. The record is from RNAcentral.